Molecule: ribosomal RNA, 468 nt
Filed under: uncultured bacterium
Lineage: Bacteria
Description: partial 16S ribosomal RNA
Rfam family: Bacterial small subunit ribosomal RNA
Source: RNAcentral
UCCGCCCGCUGGCGGCGUGCUUAACACAUGCAAGUCGAACGGAAAGGCCCUGCUUUUGUGGGGUGCUCGAGUGGCGAACGGGUGAGUAACACGUGAGUAACCUGCCCUUGACUUUGGGAUAACUUCAGGAAACUGGGGCUAAUACCGGAUAGGAGCUCUUGCUGCAUGGUGGGGGUUGGAAAGUUUCGGCGGUUGGGGAUGGACUCGCGGCUUAUCAGCUUGUUGGUGGGGUAGUGGCUUACCAAGGCUUUGACGGGUAGCCGGCCUGAGAGGGGGACCGGCCACAUUGGGACUGAGAUACGGCCCAGACUCCUACGGGAGGCAGCAGUGGGGAAUAUUGCACAAUGGGCGGAAGCCUGGUGCAGCAACGCCGCGUGCGGGAUGACGGCCUUCGGGUUGUAAACCGCUUUCGCCUGUGACGAAGCGUGAGUGACGGUAAUGGGUAAAGAAGCACCGGCUAACUACGUG